GGCCGACUAGCUCAGUUGGUUAGAGCGUCGUGCUAAUACAUCGUUCUGCGGACACUCGCGCUUGAUCAUCGUGGGUUGUCUGUGGGAUUGUUACGCGAAGGUCGUGGGUUCGACCCCCCCGUUGGCCA
Molecule: transfer RNA, 128 nt
Filed under: Scleroderma citrinum Foug A
Lineage: Eukaryota; Fungi; Basidiomycota; Agaricomycetes; Boletales; Sclerodermataceae
Rfam family: tRNA
About the family: Transfer RNA (tRNA) molecules are approximately 80 nucleotides in length. Their secondary structure includes four short double-helical elements and three loops (D, anti-codon, and T loops).
Source: Rfam by way of RNAcentral